GGCAAACCUAAGCUAUUUCGACCGGAAAUGUUACAUUCCAAAGGUUUCGGCGGCAUUCAACGAGAGUUUUUGGAAUCGCGAUAGCCUGCUGAGCUAAUGGAUCAACUGGACGAAGUUGCAAUUGCUACACUAAGAGCUGCCAAGAUUGGAGAAGACUUACUGCCUUCCCUUUCUCGGGAUGAAAUCAAGGAUCUGUUUCCUGGUCCUGAAAACUUUCACAGGCGGCGGGCUAUAUGGCUUGUUGUAAAUAAAGAUGAAACGUGGAACAUGCCACUGCUGUGUUCAGAGUCCUGCCACUGCUCUUUCCAUCCAGCACUUUGCCACCUAAGAAGCUAGGUGCAAGCAGCAAGGCUGUUUUCCAUGUCCUUACGGCUUCAGAAGACCCUGAUGCAUACUUGAGCAAACGACCCCUGUCUUGUCCAGUUAUACUCGUCUGUGAGGAGAACUGCAUGAUCGCCAUUGGAAACACACCAGUGACCACCUUUGACAGAAAGAAGUUUGAUGAAGGCCUGCUCUACCUCUUGGGGUAUUACUAUUGCCUGCACCUCACUUAUCCUAAGUUCAUUUCCACCAUGCUCUCAGUAUUGCAAACUGAGGUUCUCCAGGACUCCUGCUGCUUCCUACUAAAAAAACAUUGCCGAGUGGAGGUCCUUCCUUGAGUAAUUGACUGACUCAGUUCUUAGAGUCUCUAAGAACAAACAAUUCAGUUUGAGAGUCAGACCCAUGUUAGCCACGUGUUUGUUGAUGUCAUUGGGUAAGUGCUUCACUGAGAACAUUUUUUUUUUUAUUUUUUUUUUUUGAGAAAGAUACGUGUUAAUGCUGUCAUUUCAAAUAUUCUAACUAGCAGCUGGAAUGAAAGUUUUUUUUUGUUUUAAGAAAAAAUAAUUUUAACUGUUUUCUGCUGCUUGAAUAACUGCAUAUUUUUCAUUUAUUUGGUCUAUGUGACUAUGAAAGUCUUGGUCCUGUACUCA
Long non-coding RNA from Osmerus eperlanus (European smelt), 971 nucleotides. RefSeq lists it as uncharacterized. Lineage: Eukaryota; Metazoa; Chordata; Actinopteri; Osmeriformes; Osmeridae. The record is from RefSeq and is a predicted model, not a curated record. The transcript has 4 exons.